UCAGACGAUGCGUCAUGCAUAUCAAUAAGCGGAGGAAAAGAAACUAACAAGGAUUCCCUUAGUAACGGCGAGUGAAGCGGGAAGAGCUCAAAUUUGAAAUCUUCAAGGUUUUACCUUGACGAAUUGUAGCUUAAAGAAGUGUUUUCUGUUGAAGUUUUGGUAAAAGUUCUUUGGAAUAGGACAUCAUAGAGGGUGAGAAUCCCGUAUUUGACCAUUAUUUUCAGCCUGUGUGAUACACUUUCAAAGAGUCGGAUUGUUGGGAAUGCAGUCCAAAAUGGAUGGUAAAUUUCAUCUAAAGCUAAAUAUUGGCGAGAGACCGAUAGCGAACAAGUACCGUGAGGGAAAGAUGAAAAGAACUUUGAAAAGAGAGUUAAACAGUACGUGAAAUUGUCAAAAGGGAAGCGUUUGACACCAGUGUUGUUUUCUCGAAAAUCAAUUAAAAAGAGUUAGAUUUUGUUGUGUAUUGACCUUAACAGCUUGCAUUUCAAUUUUCUUGCUUUUUUUAAUGCACUUUUCGUUUAACAAGUCAACAUCAGUUUCUUUUGUUGUAAAAGGUCAUUGGAAGGUGGCUUUCUUUUCGGAGAAAGUGUUUAUAGCCUUUGACUCCUGCAAUCGGAGAGACUGAGGUCUGCAGCGUAGAUCCUUCGGGGUUAGAUACAUUUGUGCUAAGUUAUAGCUUUUUAUAGACAACUUGUUGACUAUGAUUAGUCUUGUAGCUUACUCGCUCAUGCUAUUUUACCUACGCUUAGGAUGUUGAGUCGUAGAGCACGCAG
This 773-nucleotide ribosomal RNA is filed under the name uncultured Neocallimastigales. RNAcentral describes it as "partial large subunit ribosomal RNA". It matches the Rfam family "Eukaryotic large subunit ribosomal RNA", at positions 18 to 605 of the family's 3401-position model. Lineage: Eukaryota; Fungi; Neocallimastigomycota; Neocallimastigomycetes; Neocallimastigales. The record is from RNAcentral.